Molecule: ribosomal RNA, 460 nt
Filed under: uncultured bacterium
Lineage: Bacteria
Description: partial 16S ribosomal RNA
Rfam family: Bacterial small subunit ribosomal RNA
Source: RNAcentral
CCUACGGGUGGCUGCAGUGAGGAAUAUUGGACAAUGGGCGCGAGCCUGAUCCAGCCACGUAGCGUGAAGGAUGACUGUCCUACGGGUUGUAAACUUCUUUUAUAAAGGAAUAAAGUGAGGCACGUGUGCCUUUUUGUAUGUACUUUAUGAAUAAGGCUAGGCUAACUCCGUGCCAGCACCCGCGGUAAUACGGAGGGUCCGAGCUUGAUCUGGAUUUAUUGGGUUGAAAGGGAGCGUAGAUGGGUUGUGAAGGCAGUUGUGAAAGAUUGCGGCUCAACCGGAAAAUUGCAAUGGAUACUGGCAGUCUUGAGUACAGUUGAGGUAGGCGGAAUUCGUGGUGUAGCGGUGAAAUGCUUAGAUAUCACGAAGAACUCCGAUUGCGAAGGCAGCUUACUAAACUGCCACUGACAUUGAUGCUCGAAAGUGUGGGUAUCAAACAGGAUUAGAUACCCCAGUAGUC